RNAcentral lists this ribosomal RNA (477 nucleotides) under Rhizoprionodon terraenovae (Atlantic sharpnose shark). RNAcentral's name for it is "partial 12S ribosomal RNA". It matches the Rfam family "Bacterial small subunit ribosomal RNA", at positions 853 to 1522 of the family's 1533-position model. Lineage: Eukaryota; Metazoa; Chordata; Chondrichthyes; Carcharhiniformes; Carcharhinidae. The record is from RNAcentral.
CACUCCACUAUAUUGUUCGCCAGAAUACUACAAGCGCUAGCUUAAAACCCAAAGGACUUGGCGGUAUCCCACACCCACCUAGAGGAGCCUGUUCUAUAACCGAUAAUCCCCGUUCAACCUCACCACUCCUUGCCAUUACCGUCUAUAUACCGCCGUCGUCAGCUCACCCUGUGAAGGACUAAAAGUAAGCAAAAAGAAUUAAACUCCAAAACGUCAGGUCGAGGUGUAGCAAAUGAAGUGGGAAGAAAUGGGCUACAUUUUUUUUCAAAAAUAAACGAAUGGUAAACUGAAAAAACACCUAAAGGUGGAUUUAGCAGUAAGAGGAGGUCAGAGUACUCCCCUGAAAUUGGCUCUGGGAUAAGCACACACCGCCCGUCACUCUCCUCAAAAUAAUCUACUUUUUCCAUAAAUACAUUUCCUCAACAAGAGGAGGCAAGUCGUAACAUGGUAAGUGUACUGGAAAGUGCACUUGGAAUC